Molecule: ribosomal RNA, 229 nt
Filed under: uncultured bacterium
Lineage: Bacteria
Description: partial 16S ribosomal RNA
Rfam family: Bacterial small subunit ribosomal RNA
Source: RNAcentral
AGCGCAGGCUGUUUGUCAAGUCAGAUGUGAAAGCCCACGGCUCAACCGUGGAAGUGCAUUUGAAACUGGCAGACUUGAGUAUCAGAGGGGAAAGUGGAAUUCCCGGUGUAGAGGUGAAAUUCGUAGAUAUCGGGAGGAAUACCGGUGGCGAAGGCGACUUUCUGGCUGAAUACUGACGCUGAGGCUCGAAAGCGUGGGGAGCAAACAGGAUUAGAUACCCUGGUAGUCC